Molecule: ribosomal RNA, 479 nt
Filed under: uncultured bacterium
Lineage: Bacteria
Description: partial 16S ribosomal RNA
Rfam family: Bacterial small subunit ribosomal RNA
Source: RNAcentral
GAUGAACGCUAGCGGGAGGCUUAACACAUGCAAGCCGAGGGGUAUAGUUCUUUCGGGAACUAGAGACCGGCGCACGGGUGCGUAACGCGCAUGCAACUUUCCCUACUGAAAAGGAUAGCCCUUCGAAAGGAGGAUUAAUUCUUUAUAACAGAUUUAAUGUCAUCAUUAGAUGUGGAAAGAUUUAUCGCAGUAGGAUAGGCAGGCGUAAGAUUAGUUAGUUGGUGAGGUAACGGCUCACCAAGACGAUGAUCUUUAGGGGGCCUGAGAGGGUGAACCCCCACACUGGUACUGAGACCCGGACCACACUCCUACGGGAGGCAGCAGUGAGGUAUACUGGACAGUGGAUGGUAGCCUGAUCCAGCCAUCCCGCGUGUAGGAUGACGGCCUUAUGGGUUGUAAACUACUUUUAUCUGGGGACAAUCCUACUUACGUGUGAGUAGCUGACGGUACCAGAAGAAUAAGCACCGGCUAACUACGUG